Molecule: ribosomal RNA, 552 nt
Filed under: Trichoderma harzianum
Lineage: Eukaryota; Fungi; Ascomycota; Sordariomycetes; Hypocreales; Hypocreaceae
Description: eukaryotic LSU rRNA
Rfam family: 5.8S ribosomal RNA (bases 179-332)
Source: RNAcentral
CAUGUGAACGUUACCAAACUGUUGCCUCGGCGGGAUCUCUGCCCCGGGUGCGUCGCAGCCCCGGACCAAGGCGCCCGCCGGAGGACCAACCAAAACUCUUAUUGUAUACCCCCUCGCGGGUUUUUUUAUAAUCUGAGCCUUCUCGGCGCCUCUCGUAGGCGUUUCGAAAAUGAAUCAAAACUUUCAACAACGGAUCUCUUGGUUCUGGCAUCGAUGAAGAACGCAGCGAAAUGCGAUAAGUAAUGUGAAUUGCAGAAUUCAGUGAAUCAUCGAAUCUUUGAACGCACAUUGCGCCCGCCAGUAUUCUGGCGGGCAUGCCUGUCCGAGCGUCAUUUCAACCCUCGAACCCCUCCGGGGGGUCGGCGUUGGGGAUCGGCCCUGCCUUGGCGGUGGCCGUCUCCGAAAUACAGUGGCGGUCUCGCCGCAGCCUCUCCUGCGCAGUAGUUUGCACACUCGCAUCGGGAGCGCGGCGCGUCCACAGCCGUUAAACACCCAACUUCUGAAAUGUUGACCUCGGAUCAGGUAGGAAUACCCGCUGAACUUAAGCAUAUC